This 393-nucleotide ribosomal RNA is filed under the name bacterium S6-005-16S. RNAcentral describes it as "bacterial SSU rRNA". It matches the Rfam family "Bacterial small subunit ribosomal RNA", at positions 81 to 509 of the family's 1533-position model. The record is from RNAcentral.
GCCCCGCAAGGGGAGCGGCAGACGGGUGAGUAACGCGUGGGAACGUACCCUUUACUACGGAAUAACGCAGGGAAACUUGUGCUAAUACCGUAUGUGCCCUUCGGGGGAAAGAUUUAUCGGUAAGGGAUCGGCCCGCGUUGGAUUAGCUAGUUGGUGGGGUAAAGGCCUACCAAGGCGACGAUCCAUAGCUGGUCUGAGAGGAUGAUCAGCCACAUUGGGACUGAGACACGGCCCAAACUCCUACGGGAGGCAGCAGUGGGGAAUAUUGGACAAUGGGCGCAAGCCUGAUCCAGCCAUGCCGCGUGAGUGAUGAAGGCCCUAGGGUUGUAAAGCUCUUUCACCGGAGAAGAUAAUGACGGUAUCCGGAGAAGAAGCCCCGGCUAACUUCGUGCC